This 750-nucleotide ribosomal RNA is filed under the name Streptomyces griseus. RNAcentral describes it as "bacterial SSU rRNA". It matches the Rfam family "Bacterial small subunit ribosomal RNA", at positions 95 to 857 of the family's 1533-position model. Lineage: Bacteria; Bacillati; Actinomycetota; Actinomycetes; Kitasatosporales; Streptomycetaceae. The record is from RNAcentral.
GUGGCGAACGGGUGAGUAACACGUGGGCAAUCUGCCCUUCACUCUGGGACAAGCCCUGGAAACGGGGUCUAAUACCGGAUAACACUCUGUCCCGCAUGGGACGGGGUUAAAAGCUCCGGCGGUGAAGGAUGAGCCCGCGGCCUAUCAGCUUGUUGGUGGGGUAAUGGCCUACCAAGGCGACGACGGGUAGCCGGCCUGAGAGGGCGACCGGCCACACUGGGACUGAGACACGGCCCAGACUCCUACGGGAGGCAGCAGUGGGGAAUAUUGCACAAUGGGCGAAAGCCUGAUGCAGCGACGCCGCGUGAGGGAUGACGGCCUUCGGGUUGUAAACCUCUUUCAGCAGGGAAGAAGCGAAAGUGACGGUACCUGCAGAAGAAGCGCCGGCUAACUACGUGCCAGCAGCCGCGGUAAUACGUAGGGCGCAAGCGUUGUCCGGAAUUAUUGGGCGUAAAGAGCUCGUAGGCGGCUUGUCACGUCGGAUGUGAAAGCCCGGGGCUUAACCCCGGGUCUGCAUUCGAUACGGGCUAGCUAGAGUGUGGUAGGGGAGAUCGGAAUUCCUGGUGUAGCGGUGAAAUGCGCAGAUAUCAGGAGGAACACCGGUGGCGAAGGCGGAUCUCUGGGCCAUUACUGACGCUGAGGAGCGAAAGCGUGGGGAGCGAACAGGAUUAGAUACCCUGGUAGUCCACGCCGUAAACGUUGGGAACUAGGUGUUGGCGACAUUCCACGUCGUCGGUGCCGCAGCUAACG